UGUUCACAUUGUAUUGAGCGUAAAAAUGUUUGGCCAUUGUUGUGCUGUUACCUAAUUCCUUUACUAAAACAGCACAGACAUCACAUACAAUUGUCAGCAGGUACUUUUACUCUCAGUGAAUUCUCCGCUUAGUCUUUUGAGUGUACGAAUGUUGGAGUGUGCAAUUCUGAAGCAGCGACAUCAAAACCCGCACAUGCUCCUCACCACGCAACGCCUCUGACGUUCAAGGCCUUCUCCUCCUCCAAGACACGUGAAUAAGUCAAUCUGUCCAUCAAAUAAAAAAAUAAACCACCAUCCAUUCAUUUCAAGACAGUGCAUGAUCAAUAUCAUCAAUCCCAGCUUCCUUUCUUGUUUUCUUCCCCACAGUUUCUCUCUCUCAGUUUGUCUCUCCCUCUCUCUCUCUCUCUCUCUCUCGCCCUCUCCCCAUCUCUCCAGCUGUAUCCAUUUCCUUCUGGCAAAAAGGGACUUUAUGAAUAAAUGAUACUGAAUAGCUGAAGGUUCAGAUACUAAAUAAUGAAUUUCACCACCAAAAACACAACAACUUCUCCAAUCAUAAAAUAGCGCUCCCCUUCCAUAUUGAUUGUGCUUUGCUUUGGCAACCAGAUGCAGAGCAACACGGGCAGCAUCCAUGUGCGCGUGAGAGAGCGUGCACGAGGGUUAGUCGAGUCCCUCCGACCCAAAAGCAGUGGAAGCUGGGACUCGGGCUCCAGAAACACCGCCUGGCUGCCAUGCCGUUCCCGUCGGCUUAUUUCCGCAUGGAUAAUGGAGAGGAGAAAUCUAGGGGAGGGAGAAGAGGGGCGGGGGGUAUGGGUUAAAUUCAGCGAUAGAACUUCUUCACGGGACGCCUGAUACACAAAGAUCGCCGGGACUUGUGCCCCUGCAGCUGGAUUUGGCUUACAGAAUGGAGAGAAGUUUGGAUGAGAAGAUGGUAAGACAGUUGGACAGGUGCACAGGAACAAUUAACACGACAAACAACGUUGUGUCUUUAUGUGAAAACAGGCAUUAAACAGUGACUUCCAC
Long non-coding RNA from Megalobrama amblycephala (Wuchang bream), 1020 nucleotides. RefSeq lists it as uncharacterized. The record is from RefSeq and is a predicted model, not a curated record. NCBI's taxonomy places the organism in Eukaryota, Metazoa, Chordata, Actinopteri, Cypriniformes, Xenocyprididae. The transcript is spliced from 3 exons.